CCUACGGGAGGCUGCAGUGGGGGAUAUUGCACAAUGGGGGGAACCCUGAUGCAGCGACGCCGCGUGGGUGAAGAAGCGCCUCGGCGCGUAAAGCCCUGUCAGCAGGGAAGAAAAUGACGGUAACUGAAGAAGAAGCCCAGGCUAACUACGUGCCAGCAGCCGCGGUAAUACGUAGGGGGCAAGCGUUAUACGGAUUUACUGGGUGUAAAGGGGGCGCAGACGGCGAUGCAAGCCAGGAGUGAAAGCCCGGGGCCCAACCCCGGGACUGCUCUUGGAACUGCGUGGCUGGAGGGCAGGAGGGGCAGGCGGAAUUCCUGGUGUAGCGGUGAAAUGCGUAGAUAUCAGGAGGAACACCGGUGGCGAAGGCGGCCUGCUGGACUGCAACUGACGUUGAGGCCCGAAAGCGUGGGGAGCAAACAGGAUUAGAUACCCCAGUAGUC
This 440-nucleotide ribosomal RNA is filed under the name uncultured bacterium. Its description in RNAcentral is "partial 16S ribosomal RNA". It matches the Rfam family "Bacterial small subunit ribosomal RNA", at positions 338 to 795 of the family's 1533-position model. The record is from RNAcentral.